This 128-nucleotide small nuclear RNA is filed under the name Strigops habroptila (Kakapo). RNAcentral's name for it is "U1 spliceosomal RNA (ENSSHBG00005008998.1)". It matches the Rfam family "U1 spliceosomal RNA". From Rfam's summary of the family: U1 is a small nuclear RNA (snRNA) component of the spliceosome (involved in pre-mRNA splicing). Lineage: Eukaryota; Metazoa; Chordata; Aves; Psittaciformes; Psittacidae. The record is from Rfam by way of RNAcentral.
AUACUUACCUGACAGGGGAGACACCAUGAUCAGGCAGGUGAUUUUCCCAGGGCGAGGAUCAUUCUCUGCACUCUGAGUGUGCUGACCCCUGCGAUUUUCCCAAAUGUGGAAAACUCGACUGUUACAGC